Esox lucius (northern pike) is the source of this 2832-nucleotide long non-coding RNA. RefSeq lists it as uncharacterized. NCBI's taxonomy places the organism in Eukaryota, Metazoa, Chordata, Actinopteri, Esociformes, Esocidae. The record is from RefSeq and is a predicted model, not a curated record. The transcript has 3 exons.
UUAUACACAGUGCGGUUCUAGCUUGCAUGUGUCUGUGAUGCAUGGUGCCAGGCAUUGUGUUUUCAUUCAGUAAAUUAGUUUAAUUCUUUUUUUUUUUUUUUUUUAGCCCAAGCGUCUGCUGUGUUUUUGUUCAAUAUUGCAACUUUUCAUUACAGCGAGCGUUGCCGUGGAGAGGAAUUACACUGUAUUUUAUCAGAGAGAGCAGUGUGUCAUUGCCACCUCCCCAUGGUUUAUAUUCCAGACACAAAGAACAGCUGUCUCUCUCUCUGUGCCCAAGGGACUCUGCUGACUGUCUGUAUCAGUGCAGGACAUGUCUGAGUGGGAAUGGUGUGUGUGUGCGAGAAAGUUUGUGUGUGUGUGUGUGUGUGUGUGUGUGGACAGAUGCUUGUGCAAAGGACAGUCACAAGAUCCCUUUGAAGCUCUUGCUUAAUAUAUAUCAACAAAGAAACACUUAUUUCUGAAUUGGUCGUUAGUGCAGUUUCAUUUAGCCGAUCUCAGGUUUGUGGCUUUUAUAAAAAGGUCCCCCGAUUUGAGUUGGAAUUCCUCUGUUUAGGCACGACAAAAGAUAACUGUCUGGUUAUUGGUUUUUCAUCUUUCGCCCAAACAGAUUUGGUUAUCGGUUGUCCUCUGCCCCUCAACGCCCCCUUGAACCCCACCGCGCGAGGACUCCACGUUGGCCCGGCCGGAGGGGUUUGUGUGCUGGUGGCCUGUCAGCUCAGUCGUCCCCUGAUUAACAUCGAUCAGCCCUGUAAUGGCCGACCAGUCCCCAACUGUCCUGCUGAACUGAUAGAACUAUUGUUUCCGCAGUCUGAGGGAGGGGAAACUGACUCAUUAUCCCGAAGAGUGAUUUGAUGUGGGUCCACAAGCAUGACAAGAUGCUGUUGAAUGUGGUGGCGAGAUGGCCGGGGGGGAACGCACAACUCAUUCAUUCUGCAGAACAGCAACGUUGGCCUUGGCUUACAGGAGGGAGCUGUUCAGGAUGGCUGGCUCAUUGGUAUGUAUUGCCCAGGCAUCAAGUAUUUGCCAUUAGUGGAUUCUAUUUACCUAUAUGACUCUCCCCGUAGGAGACAGAGGUUAUCCAUUGAAACUGUGGCUGAUGACUCCUUUGACCAAUCCUGCGACGGCACAGGAGAGCGCCUAUAAUGCUGCACACCGUCGCAUAAGGUCGAUCGUGGAGCCCACAAUUGGAACUCUGUUUCGUCAUCUGCUGGGGGUGCUUUGCAGUAUAAACCGGAAGAGGCUUGCAACAUAGUCAUGGCCUGUUGGGUUCGUACAUCCAUCUGGAUAGUCACAUCCUGACCUGGUCCCUACAUCCAUCUGGAUAGUCACAUCCUGACCUGGUCCGUACAUCCAUCUGGAUAGUCAUAUCCAGACCUGGUUCGUACAUCCAUCUGGAUGGUCACAUCCAGACCUGGUUCAUACAUUCAUCUGGAUAGUCACCUCCAGACCUGGUUCGUACAUCCAUCUGGAUAGUCACAUCCUGACCUGGUUUGUACAUCCAUCUGGAUAGUCAUAUCCUGACCUGGUUCGUACAUCCAUCUGGGUAGUCACAUCCUGACCUGGUUCGUACAUCCACCUGGGUAGUCACAUCCAGACCUAGUAUGUACAUCCAUCUGGAUAGUCACAUCCAAACCUGGUUCAUACACCAAUCUGGGUAGUCAUGUCCAGACCUAGUUUGUACAUCCAUUUCAAAGUCAAAGUCUUUAUUGGUAUCAUUCUAAACCUGUGUUGGAUAAUAUGUUAUUUUAUUUCAAAUAGGACUGUUAUUUAGAUGGCUUAUUAUGCUUUGCAUGUGUAUAUUGGAGCCCUAUGUAUUUUUAUUGUUUAUGAACCUGUGAUUUAUUCAUCACAAUGCAGUCUAUUGCAAUGUUAAUUCCCAUUGAUAGUGAGUCCUGUGUGGCCUUUGCCAUAGCCAGGUUGUCAUUUUGCCGACCAGUGGUACCCAGACUCUGGCCUCAUGACAUCCGAGUCAUAAUAAAUUCUUGAGAGGCCAAUGUGAGAACACCCAGCUUCACAAACACACACACACACACACACACACACACACACAUGCACAUACUUCCUCGUGAUGACAGCAAGCCGAUGAAUGGGUGGGUCUUGAAGCACUUAAAACACCAGUGCUCAAUAAAUUAGAGAUUCCAUUCUCCAAUGUAUUGAUAGCGGGGCAGUGGCUGUACUUUUUUCAAUCAAUCUUUUGUUGGAAUUUAUGAAGGACAAUAAAAAAACAAUUAAAGAAACAAAGAGACAGACAGACAUUUGGACAUAAAAAAUCUAUAGAAUACAAAAGACGACUCCCAGCCUCACUUUUCAGAAUUAGCAUUGUGAGCACGACUCCUGGGCACUCAAUUAAUAUUAUAAACAAAGGCAAUGAAGCAUUGCUUACUGCCUCUGCUUUACACGUCCAUCUACUCACACACACACACACACACGACACUCGCUGUCAGAAUGACGCUGUGGAAAUGGCCCCCAUGUGUAUGAGUUCUCGGCCCUUCGGUCGGCCAAGAGUAAAUAAUUUAUUAAUGUUGUGAUUCUUACCAAACUUCAUCAUUUAUUUUAUUACGGGUAUGUGGUUUGUUUUUCUAAACUUUAUUUAUACAGUCAACUUGUUUAACUUGACAACCUUAUUUUUGCAUUAAGAAAAUGUUGAGGUUUCUGCAAUAAAUCCUCCGCCGACCUGAGGAAUCUCAGUCAACUGAAGUGUAUAAAAGACAAUAUGUCCGGUAGUUCAUGCCGGUAAUAAAACACAAAGCAUGUUAGACUGCAUCUAGAGGUCUUAGUACUGAGGCUUUGACAUGCAUAUACACUCACCUAAAGGAUUAUUAGGAACACCUG